RNAcentral lists this ribosomal RNA (301 nucleotides) under uncultured bacterium. RNAcentral's name for it is "partial 16S ribosomal RNA". It matches the Rfam family "Bacterial small subunit ribosomal RNA", at positions 509 to 807 of the family's 1533-position model. The record is from RNAcentral.
CAGUAGCCACGGUAAUACGAAGGGGGCUAGCGUUGUUCGGAAUUACUGGGCGUAAAGGGCGCGUAGGCGGCCAUUCAAGUUAGAUGUGAAAGCCCUGGGCUCAACCUAGGAAUUGCAUUUGAUACUGUUUGGCUUGAGUUCGGGAGAGGUGAGUGGAAUUCCCAGUGUAGAGGUGAAAUUCGUAGAUAUUGGGAAGAACACCAGUGGCGAAGGCGGCUCACUGGACCGACACUGACGCUGAGGCGCGAAAGCGUGGGGAGCAAACAGGAUUAGAUACCCCCGUAGUCCCUGUCUCUUAUAC